CGAUUCAAGUAUUCUCUGAGUACAGACCAGUGAUAUAUUUUGUGAUACCUUGUAUGGUUCAGAAACAAGUAGCUUGGUUGUUGUUGAAGGUAUACUACUUUCAUCCAGCUGGUACGUACGGUACUUCUUUUCGGUAUUGUAGAAGCUAAACUAUGGAAGACGGUAAUAUAGGACGUUCUAGUGAGCAUACAAAGUCGUUAUAGUAAACAAGUUUGAAGACUCAACGAGAACUCAGGUUUUUAGUUUUUGUUUUCUACAUGUUGUUUGACCGAACGAAUUUACUUUUCAUUUGUUUAUGAACUAACGUGAAGGAGAGAUUAAUUUAGAUACGUAGAGAGGAUCAAAAGAAUAAAGAGAGAUUAAAAAUUCAAAUUAAUCCGUCGUAUAUCCGGUUUCGGUUUUUGUAUGAAUAAAAUUAAGUUACUUCUUUGGGUCAAUGUACGUGUCAAUAGUUCUUUGUCGGUACUUAUAUAUCGGGUCGAAACAUCUUUUAUUUCGUAGUUUGGUCGUAAGUUCAAGAAUGUUUGUGUGCAUGAUGUCUAGGUACUCUCAAACGUACAAUGUAUUUUCAAACGUAUACGACUAUUUUUUUUCAUCACGGUUUGUUCCCACUCCUUAUGUUUUCCCCUUUAAUACAUCGUAAUAUAACCUUUGGUAGAUGUAGCCAGUCUCAAUCGAGCUCAAAUUUGAUCUGUAUGUCGAGACUUGAUGUUGCCAACUCUUGGUUGUUCAGUAACACUUUGAACUAAUCAAUCUAACGAUAUCGGGUCGUCGAGACACGACUGUAACUAUCGGAGAAGAUAAAAGGUCAUAACUUUAUGUUCGUCUUUUUUCGAGCUCGUUGAUUGGUGGUGUAUUUGUAACACUCUGGUACGUUGAGGCGAUUAAUAGUAUUUGCGUUUUCUCCUCUUAAAUCCUUGACUGUUAAGGAAAUAGUUCAUGAUAUUCGUCUAGAAAGUAGCUCGUUCCACCUUGAAUUGGUUAGACCUGUGAUAUUUAGUUGUGUUGUACUCCUCCCCGGGGAAUUGAAAAUAGUUGUUCUUCCUUCUUUGGGCCCACGUCUUAAGUAGAGACCGACCCAACUUCGUGGUCUAUCAAUGAGAUCGUGACUGGAUCCCGAAGCAAAAGUUAGACUUGUAAUCGUCACGAAUAGCUGGUUAUUCAGAAUCCGAACUCCAAUUUGAACUCACUUUAUUUUCUAUUGAAAGUAUACAGGUCACGUCACAUUCAGUUACUAUUGAAAUUACAGAAGCUUUACGACACUUUAUAAUCUGGAUUUUGUUGAUAUAUUUCCGAACCUUAUUCUAAAUAUACUUGGUUUGCUCGAUGUAGAGCUGUUAUUAGACCUUUGUAUUUGUUUGCUGUCUCAUUUAUUUUUUAUAUGUUUGUACUUUAUCAAGACCACAAAGAACUGGACGUGAAAAUCUAAGCUCAACGGGUCGUUUGUAUUAUAGUCCGAGUUAUGGGUAACGAAACUUAUAUUCAAGUCUUGCCUGAGACCCUAUCAAAAGGGAACUGGAAAAGGUGGGAUCAGUGCACGACCACGUUACAACGAGUUCUAGUAAGUUACCAUUUCGUACUGUGACUUAGUUUGAUGUGAAAAAAAAUGAAGUAUAAUGUGUCAUGUGUAUCUUUGUUCGAUAGUACAUUUACGGACUUCAUCGUCUAAUAGGAGGAAAGCUAAACUACCAGACAACGUAGUAGCUAAUAUCAGACUACGUUUGAGACUACCAGACUACUUAGUAGAUAAAUAUCACUGUAAUGUUUGAUCACAUAUACACACAUUAAUAUACGUGUAUGUGUGCGAUACUUCGUACUUUGUACUGUUAUUUUUACGUUUCCUCUGGGUCUUUUUUUUGUUAUCUGAAAAUCAAGUGUAACUACUGGGAAAAAGGGUAAGAUCGGGAAAAAUAAAAACUUGGUUCGUAGUAUGGUGUCAAUUGUCACUUGUUUGUUCAGGGAAAGAUGUAGAAAAGUGUUGAGGUUCGUCGUCGAACUAUUAUUCUCAGACCCACCGUUGAUAUUUAGUCGUACCGUACUACCCGCACCUGUGUAUCUCGUACUCUCGCUCUCUCUUGUGGUCACCGAAUGGUAAUCGAUACAGCCUCACCUUCAUUUUAGCCCAGGUAGCCUGUGCAUCGCGCCUUCCGUAAUCUCACCUUUUUCUUAGUGGCACGUGUGGUAUACCGCCGAGACAGGACGUGGACGUACCCGUUCCUCUGUGUAACUAUGUCAUCCCUACAGUUAAUGUCACUUAUGCAUGUCACAAGAGUCGUCGUUUCUUUGUGAAGUAUUAGAGAGAGAACUAAAAAGUCAGAGAUUUCGUUUAUUUAUUACUAACUUUAGACGCCGUGUUGACCUCCUUUUCCUCUAAGUGUAUUAGUGAAUUUGGAGGUAUGUGAUCUAUGUCUCAGGUUCAAAAUCAAACGUAGAAUAUUGUACAAGACAAUGUUUCUACGUUUGACGUGAUGGCUAAAGUGUUAAAAGGUGGCCGUGAAAAACCUUGCAGGCAACGCAUGACCACCGUGAAAACCUUGCCUUUCGUGUUCCGGAAGAUAUCCUUUGAUAUCAACGUACUAUGUAUCCUAUUUAAAAGGUUUAUUUCCACCGGUUGUAUUAAAUAAAUCAGACUUUGAAGUCCACGACGUUUAUUAACACGAAGUUAACAAGUUCUUCUGUUCAACCUAACGUCCUGGAGAGGAGAAGAGGAGAGACUUCUUUAUAAAUAAUAAUAGGUACCCCAGCCUCGUUGUCGCAGAACCCUUCCCUUCUUCGUUCGUGUAUCUCUUGAAGGUACCGUGCCGACGAUCACGCACCAAUACAUAUACCUCGGGCUCCACCUAGGCUGCGAGCCUCGUCUCCACGAGCUGCUGCUACCGCGACCGCCUAGACCCGCACGGUACCGGCGGCGGACUGGACGAGAACCAGCGCCGCCUAGACGGAGGGAGAAAAGAACAGGAUAGAAGUCCUCCGUGGAAGCCGAACCUUGUACCCCCCUCGUGGUGUAAGAUCUUCCUCCGACUCCCUCCGAGUUAGCGACCACCCUUUCCGCCACCGCGCUCGUUUAGCCGGCCGUUCAGUCCCCCGCCGCCGCUUCCCUCGCACACACCACACCCCCUUUCUCUUUCUCUAUUCUACGCCACCACCGGCCCACCUCUUUCUCUAAAAAAAAACUCCCCCUCCACCUCUUUC
This 3192-nucleotide ribosomal RNA is filed under the name Triticum aestivum (bread wheat). RNAcentral's name for it is "partial small subunit ribosomal RNA". Lineage: Eukaryota; Viridiplantae; Streptophyta; Magnoliopsida; Poales; Poaceae. The record is from RNAcentral.